RNAcentral lists this ribosomal RNA (496 nucleotides) under uncultured bacterium. RNAcentral's name for it is "partial 16S ribosomal RNA". It matches the Rfam family "Bacterial small subunit ribosomal RNA", at positions 29 to 507 of the family's 1533-position model. The record is from RNAcentral.
ACGAACGCUGGCGGCGUGCCUAAUACAUGCAAGUUGAGCGCUGAAGGUUGGUACUUGUACCAACUGGAUGAGCAGCGAACGGGUGAGUAACGCGUGGGGAAUCUGCCUUUGAGCGGGGGACAACAUUUGGAAACGAAUGCUAAUACCGCAUAAAAACUUUAAACACAAGUUUUAAGUUUGAAAGAUGCAAUUGCAUCACUCAAAGAUGAUCCCGCGUUGUAUUAGCUAGUUGGUGAGGUAAAGGCUCACCAAGGCGAUGAUACAUAGCCGACCUGAGAGGGGGAUCGGCCACAUUGGGACUGAGACACGGCCCAAACUCCUACGGGAGGCAGCAGUAGGGAAUCUUCGGCAAUGGACGAAAGUCUGACCGAGCAACGCCGCGGGAGGGAAGAAGGUUUUCGGAUCGUAAAACUCUGUUGGUAGAGAAGAACGUUGGUGAGAGUGGAAAGCUCAUCAAGUGACGGUAACUACCCAGAAAGGGACGGCUAACUACGUG